This 693-nucleotide ribosomal RNA is filed under the name Bruchidius albosparsus. RNAcentral describes it as "eukaryotic LSU rRNA". It matches the Rfam family "Eukaryotic large subunit ribosomal RNA", at positions 1313 to 1890 of the family's 3401-position model. Lineage: Eukaryota; Metazoa; Arthropoda; Insecta; Coleoptera; Chrysomelidae. The record is from RNAcentral.
UGAAAAUGGAUGGCGCUGAAGCGUCGUGCUUAUACUCGGCCGUCAGCGGCAUGUGCGGUCGUGAUCCGUGUCAAAGCGGAUCGGCCAUGAAGCUCUGACGAGUAGGAGGGUCGCGGCGGUGCGCGCAGAAGGGCUGGCCGUGAGGCCGUCUGGAGCCGCCGUCGGUGCAGAUCUUGGUGGUAGUAGCAAAUACUCCAGCGAGGCCCUGGAGGACUGACGUGGAGAAGGGUUUCGUGUGAACAGCCGUUGCACACGAGUCAGUCGAUCCUAAGUCCUAGGCGAAAGCCGAUGUUGAUGUGGCGUUUUUUUACAAGUUCUAUUUUUUUAAUAUAAUAAAACGAUUAAAGAACACGCCCGUCGGACGAAAGGGAAUCCGGUUCCUAUUCCGGAACCCGGCAGCGGAACCGUACAAUAGUCGGGCCCUCGCAAGAGAGUUCGUCGGGGUAACCCAAAAAGACCCGAAGACGCCGUCGGGAGAUCCGGGAAGAGUUUUCUUUUCUGCAUAAGCAUUCGAGUUCCAUGGAAUCCUCUAGCAGGGAGAUAUGGUUUGGAAUGCGAAGAGCACCGCAGUUGCAGCGGUGUCCGGAUCUUCCCCUCGGACCUUGAAAAUUCGGGAGAGGGCCACGUGGAGGUGUCGCGCCGGUUCGUACCCAUAUCCGCAGCAGGUCUCCAAGGUGAAGAGCCUCUAGUCGA